UACGGAAGGGGCAAGCGUUGUUCGGAAUUAUUGGGCGUAAAGGGCGCGUAGGCGGCUCCAUAUGUCGGCGGUGAAAGCAUACAGCUCAACUGUAUUGAGCCGCGGAAACUGUGGGGCUUGAGGCUGGGAGGGGCUGGUGGAAUUCCCUGUGUAGCGGUGAAAUGCGUAGAUAUCGAGAGGAACACCUGCGGCGAAGGCGGGUUGCUGGGCUGACACUGACGCUGAGGAGCGAAAGCUAGGGGAGCAAACGGG
RNAcentral lists this ribosomal RNA (252 nucleotides) under uncultured bacterium. RNAcentral describes it as "partial 16S ribosomal RNA". It matches the Rfam family "Bacterial small subunit ribosomal RNA", at positions 524 to 776 of the family's 1533-position model. The record is from RNAcentral.